RNAcentral lists this ribosomal RNA (472 nucleotides) under uncultured bacterium. RNAcentral's name for it is "bacterial SSU rRNA". It matches the Rfam family "Bacterial small subunit ribosomal RNA", at positions 335 to 800 of the family's 1533-position model. The record is from RNAcentral.
ACUCCUACGGGAGGCAGCAGUGGGGAAUAUUGCACAAUGGGCGCAAGCCUGAUGCAGCCAUGCCGCGUGUAUGAAGAAGGCCUUCGGGUUGUAAAGUACUUUCAGCAGUGAGGAAGGUGGGUAUGUUAAUAGCAUAUUCAUUUGACGUUAGCUGCAGAAGAAGCACCGGCUAACUCCGUGCCAGCAGCCGCGGUAAUACGGAGGGUGCGAGCGUUAAUCGGAAUUACUGGGCGUAAAGCGCAUGCAGGUGGUUUGUUAAGUCAGAUGUGAAAGCCCGGGGCUCAACCUCGGAAUUGCAUUUGAAACUGGCAAACUAGAGUACUGUAGAGGGGGGUAGAAUUUCAGGUGUAGCGGUGAAAUGCGUAGAGAUCUGAAGGAAUACCGGUGGCGAAGGCGGCCCCCUGGACAGAUACUGACACUCAGAUGCGAAAGCUGGGGAGCAAACAGGAUUAGAUCCCCCGGUAGGCUCUGC